UGGGCCCGCGGCCUAUCAGCUUGUUGGUGGGGUAACGGCCUACCAAGGCGACGACGGGUAGCCGGCCUGAGAGGGUGUCCGGCCACACUGGGACUGAGAUACGGCCCAGACUCCUACGGGAGGCAGCAGUGGGGAAUAUUGCACAAUGGGCGCAAGCCUGAUGCAGCGACGCCGCGUGGGGGAUGACGGCCUUCGGGUUGUAAACCUCUUUCACUAUCGACGAAGGUUCGGGUUUUCUCGGAUUGACGGUAGAUGGAGAAGAAGCACCGGCCAACUACGUGCCAGCAGCCGCGGUAAUACGUAGGGUGCGAGCGUUGUCCGGAAUUACUGGGCGUAAAGAGCUCGUAGGUGGUUUGUCGCGUUGUUCGUGAAAUCUCACGGCUUAACUGUGAGCGUGCGGGCGAUACGGGCAGACUAGAGUACUGCAGGGGAGAUUGGAAUUCCUGGUGUAGCGGUGGAAUGCGCAGAUAUCAGGAGGAACACCGGUGGCGAAGGCGGGUCUCUGGGCAGUAACUGACGCUGAGGAGCGAAAGCGUGGGGAGCGAACAGGAUUAGAUACCCUGGUAGUCCACGCCGUAAACGGUGGGUACUAGGUGUGGGUUUCCUUCCUUGGGAUCCGUGCCGUAUGUAACCCAUGAAGUCCCUGUGCCGUGAGUGCCGUGCCACAAGGGUUAAAUGC
RNAcentral lists this ribosomal RNA (679 nucleotides) under uncultured Mycobacterium sp. RNAcentral's name for it is "bacterial SSU rRNA". It matches the Rfam family "Bacterial small subunit ribosomal RNA", at positions 226 to 873 of the family's 1533-position model. The record is from RNAcentral. Lineage: Bacteria; Bacillati; Actinomycetota; Actinomycetes; Mycobacteriales; Mycobacteriaceae.